RNAcentral lists this ribosomal RNA (292 nucleotides) under uncultured Planctomycetota bacterium. Its description in RNAcentral is "uncultured planctomycete partial 16S ribosomal RNA". The record is from RNAcentral. Lineage: Bacteria; Pseudomonadati; Planctomycetota.
GGACUACUGGGGUAUCUAAUCCCGUUUGCUCCCCUGGCUUUCGCGCCUCAGCGUCAGUAGGGACCCAGCGGACCGCUUUCGCCACCGGCGUUCCUUCCGAUAUCAACGCAUUUCACCGCUCCACCGGAAGUUCCGUCCGCCCCUAUCCCCCUCCAGCCCCGCAGUAUCCCGGGCCCUUUUCCGGUUAAGCCGAAAGAUUUCACCCGAGACUGGCGGAGCCGCCUACGCGCCCUUUAAGCCCAGUGAUUCCGAACAACGUUCGCUCGGUUCGUCUUACCGCGGCUGCUGGCAC